CCUACGGGAGGCUGCAGUGGGGAAUAUUGGACAAUGGGGGCAACCCUGAUCCAGCCAUGCCGCGUGUGUGAAGAAGGCCCUCGGGUUGUAAAGCACUUUCAGUGAGGAAGAACGCCUGGUGGUUAAUACCCAUCAGGAAAGACAUCACUCACAGAAGAAGCACCGGCUAACUCCGUGCCAGCAGCCGCGGUAAUACGGAGGGUGCGAGCGUUAAUCGGAAUUACUGGGCGUAAAGCGCGCGUAGGUGGCUUGAUAAGCCGGUUGUGAAAGCCCCGGGCUCAACCUGGGAACGGCAUCCGGAACUGUCAAGCUAGAGUGCAGGAGAGGAAGGUAGAAUUCCCGGUGUAGCGGUGAAAUGCGUAGAGAUCGGGAGGAAUACCAGUGGCGAAGGCGGCCUUCUGGACCGACACUGACACUGAGGUGCGAAAGCGUGGGUAGCAAACAGGAUUAGAUACCCCAGUAGUC
Molecule: ribosomal RNA, 465 nt
Filed under: Vreelandella stevensii
Lineage: Bacteria; Pseudomonadati; Pseudomonadota; Gammaproteobacteria; Oceanospirillales; Halomonadaceae
Description: partial 16S ribosomal RNA
Rfam family: Bacterial small subunit ribosomal RNA
Source: RNAcentral